This 1080-nucleotide ribosomal RNA is filed under the name Bacillus cereus. RNAcentral describes it as "bacterial SSU rRNA". It matches the Rfam family "Bacterial small subunit ribosomal RNA", at positions 98 to 1153 of the family's 1533-position model. Lineage: Bacteria; Bacillati; Bacillota; Bacilli; Caryophanales; Bacillaceae. The record is from RNAcentral.
GCGGACGGGUGAGUAACACGUGGGUAACCUGCCCAUAAGACUGGGAUAACUCCGGGAAACCGGGGCUAAUACCGGAUAACAUUUUGAACCGCAUGGUUCGAAAUUGAAAGGCGGCUUCGGCUGUCACUUAUGGAUGGACCCGCGUCGCAUUAGCUAGUUGGUGAGGUAACGGCUCACCAAGGCAACGAUGCGUAGCCGACCUGAGAGGGUGAUCGGCCACACUGGGACUGAGACACGGCCCAGACUCCUACGGGAGGCAGCAGUAGGGAAUCUUCCGCAAUGGACGAAAGUCUGACGGAGCAACGCCGCGUGAGUGAUGAAGGCUUUCGGGUCGUAAAACUCUGUUGUUAGGGAAGAACAAGUGGCUAGUUGAAUAAGCUGGCACCUUGACGGUACCUAACCAGAAAGCCACGGCUAACUACGUGCCAGCAGCCGCGGUAAUACGUAGGUGGCAAGCGUUAUCCGGAAUUAUUGGGCGUAAAGCGCGCGCAGGUGGUUUCUUAAGUCUGAUGUGAAAGCCCACGGCUCAACCGUGGAGGGUCAUUGGAAACUGGGAGACUUGAGUGCAGAAGAGGAAAGUGGAAUUCCAUGUGUAGCGGUGAAAUGCGUAGAGAUAUGGAGGAACACCAGGGGCGAAGGCGACUUUCUGGUCUGUAACUGACACUGAGGCGCGAAAGCGUGGGGAGCAAACCGGAUUAGAUACCCUGGUAGUCCACGCCGUAAACGAUGAGUGCUAAGUGUUAGAGGGUUUCCGCCCUUUAGUGCUGAAGUUAACGCAUUAAGCCCUCCGCCUGGGGAGUACGGCCGCAAGGCUGAAACUCAAAGGAAUUGACGGGGGCCCGCACCAGCGGUGGAGCAUGUGGUUUAAUUCGAAGCAACGCGGAAGAACCUUACCAGGUCUUGACAUCCUUUGACAACCCUAGAGAUAGGGCUUUUCCUUUGGGAGCAGAGUGACCGGUGGUGCAUGGUUGUUGUCGUCAGCUUGUGUCGUGAGAUGUUGGGUUAAGUCCCGCAACGAGCCGCCAACCCGUUGAUUUUAGUUGGCCAUCCUUUAAGAUUGGGCCCUUUAAGGUGACUGAC